This 30-nucleotide non-coding RNA is filed under the name Rattus norvegicus (Norway rat). The record is from RNAcentral. Lineage: Eukaryota; Metazoa; Chordata; Mammalia; Rodentia; Muridae.
UAGAAAGUGCUGUCUGGGUGUUGAACUACU